This 253-nucleotide ribosomal RNA is filed under the name uncultured bacterium. RNAcentral's name for it is "partial 16S ribosomal RNA". It matches the Rfam family "Bacterial small subunit ribosomal RNA", at positions 524 to 776 of the family's 1533-position model. The record is from RNAcentral.
UACGUAGGGGGCAAGCGUUGUCCGGAAUCAUUGGGCGUAAAAAGCGCGUAGGCGGUCCGGUAAGUCCGCUCUGAAAGUCCGGGGCUCAACCCCGGGAGGCGGGCGGAUACUGUCGGGCUAGAGUCCGGAAGAGGCGAGUGGAAUUCCUGGUGUAGCGGUGAAAUGCGCAGAUAUCAGGAGGAACACCAAUGGCGAAGGCAGCUCGCUGGGACGGUACUGACGCUGAGGCGCGAAAGCGUGGGGAGCAAACAGG